Molecule: long non-coding RNA, 1457 nt
Organism: Lemur catta (Ring-tailed lemur)
Lineage: Eukaryota; Metazoa; Chordata; Mammalia; Primates; Lemuridae
Exons: 8
Source: RefSeq, a predicted model, not a curated record
CGCUCCGAAGUUUGUCUCUUGGUCAAGUUCAGGAGCGACGAUCCGCGCCGCCGUCUGGCUGCGCAACGAAGCCGAGCGAUUUGCAUUGCCCGAAACUGGGUGCCCCGCUGAGUCCCCCUGUACCCCACUUCAUCCUCCGGGACCGUGGGGAAAAAGGCGUGGGGCGUUCACAGCUUUGGCUCGGAGGGGCGGUUUUUAUAAGGGGUGUUAUUAAGGGGUCACAGCGAGCAGACGGGAACGAACAUUUAGGAAAUCCGAAACGCAGGGAGCCCCGGGGAUGUCUACUCCCCCACCCGCUCCCGCCCCCGCACAACACGCACACACGGGCGCGCACACACUCCUUUCGCCCCGAUUUGCUUCCGGGAAAACGAAUCUUGAGGGCGGUGGACACUCGCCAGAAGUCAAGCAGUAGAAGAAGUAGGAGUCCGGGGUAGAACCAGGACUCAAAAAUCUCUCCACUGCCUGCCGGGUGGUGGGCCCAUAUCCUGUGCAGCCUCUAGGAAGCGCUAGACACAUUUGUGACUGCACCUGCUGUCCUUCAGUGGAUCCUCACGGCAUCUUCUGAGCAGACUGAGGUCCAGAGCUAUACAAGAACUCUAGGGAGGCAGAAUCUACUGGGGACAUGUUCUUCUCAAGGAAGAAGUGAGGGUACAUGGAAGCAUGUGAAGCUUUUAAAGGCUAGGCUUGGAACAGGCAGAGAAAAACUCUAGACCCACUGAAGGGGUUCCAUGACUCAUCCGAGUACAUCAGAGCCACCGGACCACCGGACCACCAUGAGCCUAACCCACGUCAGACACACAGACAGCUAGUAUCUUCAGGAAGAUCCCAGUAGAACUGAGUAGAUGAGUCCUGUAGGAAAAAUACAACACCUAACAAGACGAGUGCCCUAAAGAGGUAAAAAGAGCGUGCUAAAUAAGAACCAGAGUCGUGGAGCAACUUGGAGUCAAGCAGACUGUCGUUUGAAUCUCAUGGGCGCUCAGCUGCCCCGGCAGGCUCUCUGUGAACACUUGCUGAACAAAUGCCCGGCUGGGAAAACGAAGGCAUGAGGAAAUCAGCACCGAUGCUGAACACUGCCUGUGUGUCAGGGCACUGGGAGCUGGAGCUGGCAUGUGGGGUUAAGGUCUGAUUCCAUAUUUUCACCUGGUCAUAGUCAAACUGCAACUUAUCCAAAGGAGCAGAACCGGAACACCAAAGGAAAUGAUGCUGUCUUUGCAAAGGCUGAGGGACCUGAAUUUCUUUCCCUGAAGAAGAGAAGCGGAGUGUAAGGAGAGGGCUGAACUUGAAGAUCUUAAAGGACCCUUCUAUCCCUAAAAUGCUUAGGGAUCCCGGAAGGCAACACCCAAAUGCCCCAGGUACUGACUGUGAAACGCUUUAUGCAGCAACCUUCAAAACAAAACCACCCCCAAACCUGAACUUGGAGUUUUUUCAAAACUUCCAACAAUGUCACCAUUGAAGCA